CCUACGGGAGGCAGCAGUGAGGAAUAUUGGUCAAUGGACGAGAGUCUGAACCAGCCAAGUAGCGUGAAGGAUGACUGCCCUAUGGGUUGUAAACUUCUUUUAUAUGGGAAUAAAAUGUUCCACGUGUGGGAUUUUGUAUGUACCAUAUGAAUAAGGCUCGGCUAACUCCGUGCCAGCAGCCGCGGUAAUACGGAGGAUCCGAGCGUUAUCCGGAUUUAUUGGGUUUAAAGGGAGCGUAGGUGGAUUGUUAAGUCAGUUGUGAAAGUUUGCGGCUCAACCGUAAAAUUGCAGCUGAAACUGGCAGUCUUGAGUACAGUAGAGGUGGGCGGAAUUCGUGGUGUAGCGGUGAAAUGCUUAGAUAUCACGAAGAACUCCGAUUGCGAAGGCAGUUCACUGGACUGCAACUGACACUGAGGCUCGAAAGUGUGGGUAUCAAACAGGAUUAGAUACCCGAGUAGUC
RNAcentral lists this ribosomal RNA (460 nucleotides) under uncultured bacterium. RNAcentral describes it as "partial 16S ribosomal RNA". It matches the Rfam family "Bacterial small subunit ribosomal RNA", at positions 338 to 795 of the family's 1533-position model. The record is from RNAcentral.